GGUUAAGCGACUAAGCGUACACGGUGGAUGCCCUGGCAGUCAGAGGCGAUGAAGGGCGUGCUAAUCUGCGAUAAGCGCCGGUAAGGUGAUAUGAACCGUUAUAACCGGCGAUACCCGAAUGGGGAAACCCAGUGUGAYUCGUCACACUAUCAUUAACUGAAUCCAUAGGUUAAUGAGGCGAACCGGGGGAACUGAAACAUCUAAGUACCCCGAGGAAAAGAAAUCAACCGAGAUUCCCCCAGUAGCGGCGAGCGAACGGGGAGGAGCCCAGAGCCUGAAUCAGCAUGUGUGUUAGUGGAAGCGUCUGGAAAGGCGCGCGAUACAGGGUGACAGCCCCGUACACAAAAGCGCAURUGCUGUGAGCUCGAUGAGUAGGGCGGGACACGUGGUAUCCUGUCUGAAUAUGGGGGGACCAUCCUCCAAGGCUAAAUACUCCUGACUGACCGAUAGUGAACCAGUACCGUGAGGGAAAGGCGAAAAGAACCCCGGCGAGGGGAGUGAAAAAGAACCUGAAACCGUGUACGUACAAGCAGUGGGAGCACCCUUUGGGGUGUGACUGCGUACCUUUUGUAUAAUGGGUCAGCGACUUAUAUUCUGUAGCAAGGUUAACCGWAUAGGGGAGCCGGAGGGAAACCGAGUCUUAAUUGGGCGUUAAGUUGCAGGGUAUAGACCCGAAACCCGGUGAUCUAGCCAUGGGCAGGUUGAAGGUUGGGUAACACUAACUGGAGGACCGAACCGACUAAUGUUGAAAAAUUAGCGGAUGACCUGUGGCUGGGGGUGAAAGGCCAAUCAAACCGGGAGAUAGCUGGUUCUCCCCGAAAGCUAUUUAGGUAGCGCCUCGUGAAUUCAUCUCCGGGGGUAGAGCACUGUUUCGGCUAGGGGGCCAUCCCGGCUUACCAACCCGAUGCAAACUGCGAAUACCGGAGAAUGUUAUCACGGGAGACACACGGCGGGUGCUAACGUCCGUCGUGAAGAGGGAAACAACCCAGACCGCCAGCUAAGGUCCCAAAGUCAUGGUUAAGUGGGAAACGAUGUGGGAAGGCCCAGACAGCCAGGAUGUUGGCUUAGAAGCAGCCAUCAUUUAAAGAAAGCGUAAUAGCUCACUGGUCGAGUCGGCCUGCGCGGAAGAUGUAACGGGGCUAAACCAUGCACCGAAGCUGCGGCAGCGA
This 1169-nucleotide ribosomal RNA is filed under the name Salmonella enterica. RNAcentral describes it as "partial 23S ribosomal RNA". The record is from RNAcentral. Lineage: Bacteria; Pseudomonadati; Pseudomonadota; Gammaproteobacteria; Enterobacterales; Enterobacteriaceae.